This 385-nucleotide unclassified non-coding RNA is filed under the name soil metagenome. Its description in RNAcentral is "partial contains 5.8S ribosomal RNA, internal transcribed spacer 2, and large subunit ribosomal RNA". The stretch from base 1 to 120 matches the Rfam family "5.8S ribosomal RNA", at positions 35 to 154 of the family's 154-position model. The record is from RNAcentral.
GAUGAAGAACGCAGCGAAAUGCGAUAAGUAGUGUGAAUUGCAGAAUUCAGUGAAUCAUCGAAUCUUUGAACGCACCUUGCGCUCCUUGGUAUUCCGAGGAGCAUGCCUGUUUGAGUGUCAUUAAAUUCUCAACCUCAUCAGUUUUGUUAUGAAGCUGUGUGAGGCUUGGAUGUGGGGGUUUGUGCAGGCUGCCUCAGUGCGGUCUGCUCCCCUGAAAUGUAUUAGCGAGUUCCAACUGGGCUCCGUCUAUUGGUGUGAUAAUUAUCUACGCCGUGGAUUGGGCUUAGACUUGCUUCUAACCGUCCGCAAGGACAAUCUUUUGACAAUUUGACCUCAAAUCAGGUAGGACUACCCGCUGAACUUAAGCAUAUCAAUAAGCGGAGGA